AAAAAAAAAAAAAAAAAAACUAGAGGAGAAAAACGGGUGCUUGAAAUAACAAAAUUUUCAAUAUUUCUUAUUUAGUUGGAUAUUCAUAGUUUACAAUGUAUAAACAUAUAGAAAUAAUUUACAAAAUUAUAAAAGAAAUAAAAUUAUAUAACCACCCCCAAUCCAAUUUGUUCGCGAGGUAGGGAUGAUGGGAAUGAUAAACUUUGCUCCCCUCAGUACAAUACCAUUACCUUGUUUUGUCAAACACUUUAUAUAUUAGCUAUGAUCUAUGAUCAACUAUCGACUAACAACAACAAUCAUCAAUUUCAAUUAUAUUCAAUGAUUAAACUAAACAAGCUCUAAAUACCACGUGCCUUUGGCCUUCUAUCUCUUCCUUUCCAUGGAAAAACACAUGCCAUGAUGAUCUUGAGAUAUCUAAAAGUUUUAACUUCUGGCUAGCAAAUAUGAUGCACAAAUUAUGCUAUUUUGAAAUGUGAAUGAUACUUGCUUUAGCACCACAUCCUAAAUUCCUAAUGCAUAGCAAUACCAGACAAUUCAAAAAUUGAUUGGAAGUCCAAAUGUGAUAAGCAUCUCCUUUCCCCUAAAUAAUUGUCUACCAGAAUGUCGACAGAUUUCAUUAAGAUAUAUAAGAUUAGUUUGUGUUGAAGUACUGGCUUAGACAAGAACAUUAUUUUCUACUCAUUGAAAUGCCAAACCAUACAGUCAUACAACAUAAAACUUUGGAAAGCAAAUUAGAUAUUAAAAGAACUGAAUACAUAUAAAUUCAAAAAAUAAUUCUUUAUCAUAUCAUUAAAUAAGUUGAUCAGUGAUUCAACAGUCAGAGCUACAGCAAUAACAUGUAUAUCCUCCUAAUUUCCCAAAAACGGUUUAGAAAUAAAAUUCAUGCAGGGAGAGAUGCGUACAUACUAAAAUAGGAAUCCACUUUUUAAGCAUAUUCAUAUGCAUGGAUCAAACCGUUGGUUUGCGCUGGAACCCAGUUCCUGGGUCAUCAUCGCAAGGAAACAUCUGGAAGCCAGUAACUAUAGCAUCAGGUGGACCACGACGGCAUCUCUGCUCCAUCUCCUGCACCUUAUCAGAAUCCCCAGAGAAGAGUGCUUCCACGGAACCAUCCCUCCUGUUCCUAACCCAACCUUUCAACCCCAACUGGGUGGCAUUCUCCACUGUCCAGUUCCUAUAGAACACUCUUUGCACCCUCCCCUUGAUCACGGCCCUCACCUAGAAACCACCAAAGCUUCUUAAUCCGAGGACGCUCUGCGACUCAUCCAGUUGACAAGGAAUUGCAAGAGCAUCUUUAUGGGAAUCCAAAUUCUUCCUCAGCUUGCUUUACCUCAAGAACUCAGGAUUAUUAAGAAAAUCCAAUUCAACUAUGAUACCUUUUUGGUUCCCAACCUUGUGUUGCAACCACCGCAAAGUGACCUUCUCUCAUCCACUAAAAGAUGGUAAGAGACCAGUUUGCAACUUUCCCAUAAUGAAUCUCAUCAUUCUAACACUUCCCUUCCUCACUCCAUAAAUAUUUUUAACCUUACCCAUUUUGACUGACUUGCAAAAUGUUUAAUUUUUUUUUUUUACAAAAUAAGAAAUACAUAACAAGUAGAUGGUAUCAAAAUUCUGGAAAUAGUGAUGGACAGUGGUGCCAUUGCAUGUGAAGGUUCAAGAAUCUUCACUUCAAUUGCUUUCCCUUUAUUGGUUGAGUUUAUUUGAAUCUUUGAUAUCCUGUAUUAUGACAGCUGCACUAAUGGGGUCUACUUCACACUUUAUGCAAGUAAGACCAAAAAAAUACCUAUGAUAAACAUGUGCACUUCUUCCAGCCAUUUUACACAUCCUAAUCUAAACAAGCAAAUAUGCCAUCCAUUUACUAAUUGCUGGACUAGCCCUGGGCCAUGGCUAACACAAUGGUGAUUU
Molecule: unclassified non-coding RNA, 1902 nt
Filed under: Hevea brasiliensis (rubber tree)
Lineage: Eukaryota; Viridiplantae; Streptophyta; Magnoliopsida; Malpighiales; Euphorbiaceae
Source: RNAcentral